This 290-nucleotide long non-coding RNA is filed under the name Elaeis guineensis (African oil palm). RNAcentral's name for it is "long non-coding RNA (EGUI_LNC082441)". Lineage: Eukaryota; Viridiplantae; Streptophyta; Magnoliopsida; Arecales; Arecaceae. The record is from RNAcentral.
UCCAUAUAGGUGAUCGGAUCCUCAUCAUUCUCAUCAAGUUCAAUGAGAUCACCAUUCUGAAUCAAGAAACUAUAGUAUCUGUCUAGCUGAUGCGAUACUCUACUGGAUUUUAUUAAUGGUGCCUCUACUAGCUCUAAAUUCUAUUCACCAAUCAAAUCUAAUUCUGUAUGUGUCGGUCCUUCUACCUCAUGAACUUCAUCAAGUUCAAUUUUAUAGGAAUUAGCUCCUUCACCAAGGAACUCUUUUUCCAAAAAGACUAUCCGACUGCUAACAAACACCUUUUGUUCUGC